RNAcentral lists this long non-coding RNA (682 nucleotides) under Rattus norvegicus (Norway rat). RNAcentral's name for it is "long non-coding RNA NONRATT021317". The record is from RNAcentral. Lineage: Eukaryota; Metazoa; Chordata; Mammalia; Rodentia; Muridae.
AGAUUUUAAAAUGAAAUGGGAAACGGGUGUGAAGUGUCUGUAUGCCGAUGAGCUGCUGUGCUUUCGAGUGACUCCAUGGUAAGUUGACGAUAGCUGGUCAGUCCUCUGGAAGGGCCUCAUAUACAACCUGAUCAUCUAAAAGGGUUACGGCGAUAGGCGAACAAUAGGAAAAGCCGUUUAAGUCAAGGCUGUAUGUUGUACACAGCACAGGUAGUAAAUGCAUGCUAUACCACAUCAGGCCUAUUCUGCCUGUGCUGGUGUUGUAUCUGUCUUUUGACCUACAAAUGUGUUAUGAAAGUAGUGUGAAAGAGAGACCACGAGGCUCUGAAUGACAAAGCAUCGUUCUCAUUAUUAAUAUCACGGCUGGUGGCGACCCUGGGAAUCCUCAUAGAGCUCCACGCUGUGGUUAGCAUGGGCUGAGACCAGGUAAGUAAAGAGACGUAUGCCAACUGUAUUUUAAGGGAAGGUGCUUCUGUUCCUGUUACUCAUUUUGCCUGUCUAACCUUGUUCAAACGAUGCAAGGUCUCACUACCCUGGCCGGCAUGAUUGUGUCCUCUCUUCACCUCUGCAGAGCUCUAUCAAGUUCCAGUCCUCGGAGUGACUGUGCCCAUCAUGUGGUUCUACCUCCUCAUGAAUGUCGUGACUCAAUACGUGUGCAUCCGGGGUGUGUUCAUCCUUACCA